This 252-nucleotide ribosomal RNA is filed under the name uncultured bacterium. RNAcentral's name for it is "partial 16S ribosomal RNA". It matches the Rfam family "Bacterial small subunit ribosomal RNA", at positions 524 to 776 of the family's 1533-position model. The record is from RNAcentral.
UACGUAGGUCCCGAGCGUUGUCCGGAUUUAUUGGGCGUAAAGCGAGCGCAGGUGGUUUAUUAAGUCUGGUGUAAAAGGCAGUGGCUCAACCAUUGUAUGCAUUGGAAACUGGUAGACUUGAGUGCAGGAGAGGAGGGUGGAAUUCCAUGUGUAGCGGUGAAAUGCGUAGAUAUAUGGAGGAACACCGGUGGCGAAAGCGGCUCUCUGGCCUGUAACUGACACUGAGGCACGAAAGCGUGGGGAGCAAAUAGG